GCGGCUAAACCUAUUUAUCGG
Caenorhabditis elegans is the source of this 21-nucleotide non-coding RNA. The record is from Ensembl. Lineage: Eukaryota; Metazoa; Nematoda; Chromadorea; Rhabditida; Rhabditidae.